UCUCUCUCUCUCUCUCUCUCUCUCUCUCUCUCUUGCCUGCAGGGGUUUGGUGGGAGAGGGAGGGAUUGACGGCGGAUAGUGAAGGGCAGAGCGGGGUACGCGCUUUCCCCGGCCGACCGAGUCCUGUUUGCGGCAGAUGGGUUGGCAGCGGCGAGAGAGGGGAAUCUCCGUUUCGAUCCGCAUUCCCGCGUCGUUUUCAGGCACUCCGAUGCGUACACUACUGCACACGCGUUUUCUUGCCCUUCUGGUCAGCCGCCGUUUAGAGAGAGAGAGAGAGAGCCAACACACAAGCAAAUUCUGACCUUCCCACGCGGAUUCAAUAUAUAUAUAUACUGAGAGAGAGAGAGAGAGAGAGAGAGAGAGAGAGAGAGAGAGAGAGAGGAUCUGCGCUGUCAGGGGGAGGAGGGAGGUUGGAGGGAUGGGAAGGUGAUGGGGGGGAAGGGAGAGGAUCAGUGAAGACCAUAUCUUAUAUUUACUGUACGAGAAUGGGAAAUAAAUACU
Molecule: long non-coding RNA, 501 nt
Filed under: Spirodela polyrhiza (greater duckweed)
Lineage: Eukaryota; Viridiplantae; Streptophyta; Magnoliopsida; Alismatales; Araceae
Description: long non-coding RNA (SPOL_LNC002601)
Source: RNAcentral